This 87-nucleotide transfer RNA is filed under the name hydrothermal vent metagenome. RNAcentral's name for it is "tRNA-Leu-TAA". It matches the Rfam family "tRNA". Rfam says of the family: Transfer RNA (tRNA) molecules are approximately 80 nucleotides in length. Their secondary structure includes four short double-helical elements and three loops (D, anti-codon, and T loops). The record is from RNAcentral.
GCCCGGGUGGUGAAACUGGUAGACACAAGGGACUUAAAAUCCCUCGGCUUCACGGCCAUGCCGGUUCGAUUCCGGCCCCGGGCACCA